GACGAACGCUGGCGGCGUGCUUAACACAUGCAAGUCGAACGAUGACGACCGAGCUUGCUCGGUCUGAUUAGUGGCGAACGGGUGAGUAACACGUGAGCAACCUGCCCUUCACUCUGGGAUAACCUCGGGAAAUCGGGGCUAAUACCGGAUAUGAGCUCCUGUCGCAUGGCGGGUGUUGGAAAGUUUUUCGGUGAAGGAUGGGCUCGCGGCCUAUCAGUUUGUUGGUGAGGUAGUGGCUCACCAAGGCGAUGACGGGUAGCCGGCCUGAGAGGGCGACCGGCCACACUGGGACUGAGACACGGCCCAGACUCCUACGGGAGGCAGCAGUGGGGAAUAUUGCACAAUGGGCGAAAGCCUGAUGCAGCGACGCCGCGUGAGGGAUGACGGCCUUCGGGUUGUAAACCUCUUUCAGCAGGGAAGAAGCGAAAGUGACGGUACCUGCAGAAGAAGCGCCGGCUAACUACGUA
RNAcentral lists this ribosomal RNA (467 nucleotides) under uncultured bacterium. RNAcentral describes it as "partial 16S ribosomal RNA". It matches the Rfam family "Bacterial small subunit ribosomal RNA", at positions 28 to 507 of the family's 1533-position model. The record is from RNAcentral.